Molecule: ribosomal RNA, 1451 nt
Filed under: Escherichia coli
Lineage: Bacteria; Pseudomonadati; Pseudomonadota; Gammaproteobacteria; Enterobacterales; Enterobacteriaceae
Description: partial 23S ribosomal RNA
Rfam family: Bacterial large subunit ribosomal RNA
Source: RNAcentral
CACACUAUCAUUAACUGAAUCCAUAGGUUAAUGAGGCGAACCGGGGGAACUGAAACAUCUAAGUACCCCGAGGAAAAGAAAUCAACCGAGAUUCCCCCAGUAGCGGCGAGCGAACGGGGAGGAGCCCAGAGCCUGAAUCAGUGUGUGUGUUAGUGGAAGCGUCUGGAAAGGCGCGCGAUACAGGGUGACAGCCCCGUACACAAAAAUGCACAUACUGUGAGCUCGAUGAGUAGGGCGGGACACGUGGUAUCCUGUCUGAAUAUGGGGGGACCAUCCUCCAAGGCUAAAUACUCCUGACUGACCGAUAGUGAACCAGUACCGUGAGGGAAAGGCGAAAAGAACCCCGGCGAGGGGAGUGAAAAAGAACCUGAAACCGUGUACGUACAAGCAGUGGGAGCCUCUUAAUGGGGUGACUGCGUACCUUUUGUAUAAUGGGUCAGCGACUUAUAUUCUGUAGCAAGGUUAACCGAAUAGGGGAGCCGAAGGGAAACCGAGUCUUAACUGGGCGUUAAGUUGCAGGGUAUAGACCCGAAACCCGGUGAUCUAGCCAUGGGCAGGUUGAAGGUUGGGUAACACUAACUGGAGGACCGAACCGACUAAUGUUGAAAAAUUAGCGGAUGACUUGUGGCUGGGGGUGAAAGGCCAAUCAAACCGGGAGAUAGCUGGUUCUCCCCGAAAGCUAUUUAGGUAGCGCCUCGUGAAUUCAUCUCCGGGGGUAGAGCACUGUUUCGGCAAGGGGGUCAUCCCGACUUACCAACCCGAUGCAAACUGCGAAUACCGGAGAAUGUUAUCACGGGAGACACACGGCGGGUGCUAACGUCCGUCGUGAAGAGGGAAACAACCCAGACCGCCAGCUAAGGUCCCAAAGUCAUGGUUAAGUGGGAAACGAUGUGGGAAGGCCCAGACAGCCAGGAUGUUGGCUUAGAAGCAGCCAUCAUUUAAAGAAAGCGUAAUAGCUCACUGGUCGAGUCGGCCUGCGCGGAAGAUGUAACGGGGCUAAACCAUGCACCGAAGCUGCGGCAGCGACGCUGAUGCGUUGUUGGGUAGGGGAGCGUUCUGUAAGCCUGUGAAGGUGGCCUGUGAGGGUUGCUGGAGGUAUCAGAAGUGCGAAUGCUGACAUAAGUAACGAUAAAGCGGGUGAAAAGCCCGCUCGCCGGAAGACCAAGGGUUCCUGUCCAACGUUAAUCGGGGCAGGGUGAGUCGACCCCUAAGGCGAGGCCGAAAGGCGUAGUCGAUGGGAAACAGGUUAAUAUUCCUGUACUUGGUGUUACUGCGAAGGGGGGACGGAGAAGGCUAUGUUGGCCGGGCGACGGUUGUCCCGGUUUAAGCGUGUAGGCUGGUUUUCCAGGCAAAUCCGGAAAAUCAAGGCUGAGGCGUGAUGACGAGGCACUACGGUGCUGAAGCGACAAAUGCCCUGCUUCCAGGAAAAGCCUCUAAGCAUCAGGUAACAU